This 316-nucleotide ribosomal RNA is filed under the name uncultured bacterium. Its description in RNAcentral is "bacterial SSU rRNA". It matches the Rfam family "Bacterial small subunit ribosomal RNA", at positions 28 to 334 of the family's 1533-position model. The record is from RNAcentral.
GACGAACGCUGGCGGCGCGCCUAACACAUGCAAGUCGAACGGAGUUGUGUUGAAAGCUUGCUGGAUAUACAACUUAGUGGCGGACGGGUGAGUAACACGUGAGUAACCUGCCUCUCAGAGUGGAAUAACGUUUGGAAACGAACGCUAAUACCGCAUAACGUGAGAAGACGGGCAUCCUCUUUUUACCAAAGAUUUAUCGCUGAGAGAUGGGCUCGCGGCCGAUUAGGUAGUUGGUGGGGUAACGGCCCACCAAGGCAACGAUCGGUAGCCGGACUGAGAGGUUGAACGGCCACAUUGGGACUGAGACACGGCCCAG